RNAcentral lists this ribosomal RNA (301 nucleotides) under uncultured bacterium. Its description in RNAcentral is "partial 16S ribosomal RNA". It matches the Rfam family "Bacterial small subunit ribosomal RNA", at positions 509 to 807 of the family's 1533-position model. The record is from RNAcentral.
CAGCCGCCGCGGUAAAACGAAGGGGGCUAGCGUUACUCGGAAUUACUGGGCGUAGAGGGCGCGUAGGCGGCACGAUUAGUCAGGCGUGAAAUUCCUGGGCUCAACCUGGGGACUGCGCUUGAUACGGUCGAGCUAGAGGAUGGAAGAGGGUCGUGGAAUUCCCAGUGUAGAGGUGAAAUUCGUAGAUAUUGGGAAGAACACCGGUGGCGAAGGCGACCACCUGGGCUCAUACUGACACUAAGGUGCGAAAGCGUGGGGAGCAAACAGGACUAGAUACCCGCGUAGUCCCUGUCUCUUAUAC